This 496-nucleotide ribosomal RNA is filed under the name uncultured Sphingobacteriales bacterium. Its description in RNAcentral is "bacterial SSU rRNA". It matches the Rfam family "Bacterial small subunit ribosomal RNA", at positions 887 to 1382 of the family's 1533-position model. The record is from RNAcentral. Lineage: Bacteria; Pseudomonadati; Bacteroidota; Sphingobacteriia; Sphingobacteriales.
GCCCGCUCAGAAACUUAAAGGAAUUGACGGGGGCCCGGCACAAGCGGAGGAGCAUGUGGUUUAAUUCGAUGAUACGCGAGGAACCUUACCUGGGCUCGAACGUAAGAUGACUGUAGGUGAAAGCUUACAUCUCUUCGGAGCAUUUUACGAGGUGCUGCAUGGUUGUCGUCAGCUCGUGCCGUGAGGUGUCGGGUUAAGUCCCAUAACGAGCGCAACCCCUACCUUUAGUUGCCAUCAGGUUAAGCUGGGGACUCUAAAGGAACUGCCUACGCAAGUAGUGAGGAAGGCGGGGAUGACGUCAAAUCAGCACGGCCCUUACGUCCAGGGCUACACACGUGCUACAAUGGCCGAUACAGAGGGCAGCUACCUGGUGACAGGAUGCAAAUCUCCAAAGUCGGUCUCAGUUCGGAUCGGAGUCUGCAACCCGACUCCGUGAAGUUGGAUUCGCUAGUAAUCGCGCAUCAGCCAUGGCGCGGUGAAUACGUUCCCGGGCCUU